Molecule: non-coding RNA, 230 nt
Organism: Pelobates cultripes (western spadefoot toad)
Lineage: Eukaryota; Metazoa; Chordata; Amphibia; Anura; Pelobatidae
Source: the annotation of a GenBank genome assembly
CUCAUGUAUAAUAAGGGAGCUUGUGUCUCUUGUCUGUUGCGCCUCUGCGCUUAUUUAGGGUUAUAGUCCCACGUGAGUCCCUGCCGGUUACCCUGUGAGGUGUUGCCUUCAUCAAUGCUGGCAUGAGUUGUGGUAGCAGGCUGGUUGUGCGCUCCUUAGAGGCGUCAUGUAGGUGUCUUUCGGUUCGUUGCUCCACGGCUGCCACCAUUAUUCUCCAGCUUGUGAUGGAC